Long non-coding RNA from Myotis brandtii (Brandt's bat), 113 nucleotides. RefSeq lists it as uncharacterized. The transcript is spliced from 2 exons. NCBI's taxonomy places the organism in Eukaryota, Metazoa, Chordata, Mammalia, Chiroptera, Vespertilionidae. The record is from RefSeq and is a predicted model, not a curated record.
AACACAACCUCUAUGGGAGAGACAUAAAGGAGAGAGCCCUGAUUGAUAUGUAUUCAGAAGGUAUUGCAAAUUUGAAUGAAAUGACCAUGCGUUUCCCACUAUUGCCACCUGAU